UUAUGGCUCAGGAUGAACGCUGGCGGCGUGCCUAACACAUGCAAGUCGAACGGGUUAAGGGGAAUUUCGGAUGGAACUUAACUAGUGGCGGACGGGUGAGUAACGCGUGGAUAACCUGCCUCACGACUGGGGGAUAGCAGCUGGAAACGGCUGGUAAUACCGCAUAAGACCACAGCACCGCAUGGUGCAGGGGUAAAAGAUUUAUCGGUGUGAGAUGGAUCCGCGUCUGAUUAGCCAGUUGGCGGGUAACGGCCCACCAAAGCGACGAUCAGUAGCCGGCCUGAGAGGGUGAACGGCCACAUUGGGACUGAGACACGGCCCAAACUCCUACGGGAGGCAGCAGUGGGGAAUAUUGCACAAUGGGCGCAAGCCUGAUGCAGCAACGCCCGCGUGAGUGAAGAAGUAUUUCGGUAUGUAAAGCUCUAUCGGCAGGGAAGAAAGGCCCGAAAGGGAGAUGACGGUACCUGACUAAGAAGCCCCGGCUAACUACGUGCCAGCAGCAGC
RNAcentral lists this ribosomal RNA (504 nucleotides) under uncultured bacterium. RNAcentral's name for it is "bacterial SSU rRNA". It matches the Rfam family "Bacterial small subunit ribosomal RNA", at positions 17 to 518 of the family's 1533-position model. The record is from RNAcentral.